CAUAUGAACAUCUUUUCAUAUUUUAUUUUGCCUGGAAACACUUCCAACACGCAUGCGUGUCGUGAAAAGUUUCUGGCGUUGU
Etheostoma spectabile (orangethroat darter) is the source of this 82-nucleotide long non-coding RNA. RefSeq lists it as uncharacterized. The transcript is spliced from 3 exons. Lineage: Eukaryota; Metazoa; Chordata; Actinopteri; Perciformes; Percidae. The record is from RefSeq and is a predicted model, not a curated record.